RNAcentral lists this non-coding RNA (30 nucleotides) under Mus musculus (house mouse). The record is from RNAcentral. Lineage: Eukaryota; Metazoa; Chordata; Mammalia; Rodentia; Muridae.
UGAAGUGAUUGUAAACAGAUUCACAGUGGC